Molecule: non-coding RNA, 112 nt
Filed under: Jeotgalibacillus soli
Lineage: Bacteria; Bacillati; Bacillota; Bacilli; Caryophanales; Caryophanaceae
Description: SAM-I sequence
Rfam family: SAM riboswitch aptamer (S box leader)
About the family: The SAM riboswitch is found upstream of a number of genes which code for proteins involved in methionine or cysteine biosynthesis in Gram-positive bacteria. The SAM riboswitch acts at the level of transcription termination control. The predicted structure consists of a complex stem-loop region followed by a single stem loop terminator region.
Source: Rfam by way of RNAcentral
UUCUUAUUGAGAGCAGGUGGAGGGACUAGCCCUAUGAAACCCGGCAACCGACUUCUUUUGUAUAAAGAAGCACGGUGCUAAAUCUUGCAGCAAUUGUGCUGAGUAAUAAGGA